GUGGGUGCGGCUCGGGGGGCGGAGGGUCGCGCCCCGGGCCCGGUGAGCCCAGGGGGCAUCCAGGCCGACCGAGCCCCUGUGCCGCCCCCAG
This 91-nucleotide microRNA precursor is filed under the name Procavia capensis (Cape rock hyrax). RNAcentral describes it as "microRNA 1225 (ENSPCAG00000019822.1)". Lineage: Eukaryota; Metazoa; Chordata; Mammalia; Hyracoidea; Procaviidae. The record is from RNAcentral.